This 417-nucleotide unclassified non-coding RNA is filed under the name Hevea brasiliensis (rubber tree). The record is from RNAcentral. Lineage: Eukaryota; Viridiplantae; Streptophyta; Magnoliopsida; Malpighiales; Euphorbiaceae.
GUCAAAUCAGAGACAACGAAUGAAAUCAGAAAGUAUUGAAGAACAGUUUUUAGGGUUUGAUCAUCAAAAUGAAGUGGAUUCGUCACAACACCUAACUGAAUUGGGAUCCAAGCUUGGUGGCUUUGAUGUGUCUGUUGACAUUCGACUUCCUGAAGAAGAUAGCUUGAUUAUGGUCAGCGACCCCCUCAAUCUCCAGAACUUUAUGCCUGGCAGGAACUCAUCUAAAGCCUUAUUAUCCAUGCCAGAGACAGCAGUUGACAUUGCUGAAAAAUUAGCUGCUUUAAAUUCUGUAUACCCUGAUGAAAGGCCUAUUGUAGGAGGCAAAGAAGGUGCAGCCUUUUCUCGUGGUCCUUACGCUAUGAGGGAACCUGAUGUUCAGUACCCUAAAAUUCAAGCACAGCCAUCUUCUCCACAGGU